This 492-nucleotide ribosomal RNA is filed under the name uncultured bacterium. RNAcentral describes it as "partial 16S ribosomal RNA". It matches the Rfam family "Bacterial small subunit ribosomal RNA", at positions 29 to 507 of the family's 1533-position model. The record is from RNAcentral.
AGUGGACGCUGGCGGUAGGCCUAACACAUGCAAGUCGAACGGCAGCACAGUAAGAGCUUGCUCUUACGGGUGGCGAGUGGCGGACGGGUGAGGAAUACAUCGGAAUCUACUUUUUCGUGGGGGAUAACGUAGGGACACUUACGCUAAUACCGCAUACGACCUACGGGUGAAAGCAGGGGAUCUUCGGACCUUGCGCGAUUGAAUGAGCCGAUGUCGGAUUAGCUAGUUGGCGGGGUAAAGGCCCACCAAGGCGACGAUCCGUAGCUGGUCUGAGAGGAUGAUCAGCCACACUGGAACUGAGACACGGUCCAGACUCCUACGGGAGGCAGCAGUGGGGAAUAUUGGACAAUGGGCGCAAGCCUGAUCCAGCCAUACCGCGUGGGUGAAGAAGGCCUUCGGGUUGUAAAGCCCUUUUGUUGGGAAAGAAAAGCAGCAGGUUAAUACCCCGCUGUUCUGACGGUACCCAAAGAAUAAGCACCGGCUAACUUCGUG